This 292-nucleotide ribosomal RNA is filed under the name uncultured bacterium. RNAcentral describes it as "partial 16S ribosomal RNA". The record is from RNAcentral. RNAcentral also lists the same sequence under 1 other name.
GGACUACAGGGGUUUCUAAUCCUGUUUGAUCCCCACGCUUUCGUGCAUCAGCGUCAAUUAUCGUUUAGAUAGCUGCCUUCGCAAUCGGUGUUCUGAGACAUAUCUAUGCAUUUCACCGCUACUUGUCUCAUUCCGCCAUCUUCAGCGACAUUCAAGCCCAUCAGUAUCAAGAGCACUGCGACAGUUGAGCUGCCGUCUUUCACUCCUGACUUAAUGGGCCGCCUACGCACCCUUUAAACCCAAUAAAUCCGGAUAACGCUUGGAUCCUCCGUAUUACCGCGGCGGCUGGCAC